UUCAUUUUUACAUGUUGAAGGAUUAGUUUGUUACAUGAGCAUCCGAAUCAUUAAAAUCCGGAUCCGACCUGAGUCACAUUUCGAACCCCACCUAAACCCCCGCGGCGCAACCCUGCCCUAAUCGCAGCGACCGCUCUUUUUCUUCGGCGACUGCGGCGUCUCCUCAGUGAACGACGGCUGCCUUCCUCUCCAUCGGGAAACAGCGACAGUUGGCGGUGCCGUCUUCCCCUCCCGCCUGUUUAACUUUUCCACUUCCAAAGACCAGAGUUCAGAGCACAGAUCCAACUUUUUAGUGGUCAAGCCCCUUCAAUCAUGUGAGCUUUCCUCAGAAAAGGCUGCAAAAACACCCAAGUAUCACACCUGUCGUAAAAAUUCUUCUAAUCUUUUCAUUGAGUUCUUUAAGCAGAACGGUUGGAGCGAUGUACAAGUCAUGAAACUUACCCAGAAGGCACCCCGGUUGCUGUGUGCUAAGGUAGAGACUACACUGAAGCCCAGGAUGAGAUCUUUGCAGGACAUGGGAUUUUCUGUUACCGAAAUAGUUCAGUUGGUUUCAAAAUUUCCGACUGUACUCUAUCAUAAUAUCCAACCGAAUUUGAACUUCUUGAAGUCACUACUUGGUUCUAAUGAGAGGUUACUGAAAGCCUGCAGUAGGAACCGAUUUCUUCUUACUUCUAGCUUAGCUCGGAAGAUAGAGCCCAAUAUAUCUCUCUUAAGGGAAUGUGGCAUCAGUGAUGAAUGCAUCGCGCGUAUGGUGGUGUUGAAUUCGGGUUUUGUUGUUCGAAAAAACAAAUUUAUUAAGGAAGUUAUGGAACAUGUUGAGGAGUUGGGUGUGCCACAUGAUUGUGGAAUGUUCCCUCAUGCACUUCUUACUGUCUUGAACUCGAGCAGAUCGAAGUGUGAUGCUACCUUUGCAACCUUGAAGAGCUUUGGUUGGUCCCAGCCAGAUAUCGUUGCCAUACUCAGGAAGAACCCAUGUGUUUGGAGACUCUCAAAGAAGAACAUAUCUGACAAAAUGACAUUCCUGACGAAGGAAGCUGGUUGUGAGCUGCAGUAUAUCAUUCGCAAUCCUGGGAUUCUUGCAUAUAGCUUGGAGAAGAGGUUGAGACCGCGACAUGAAGUUAUAAAUUUUCUUGAGCAGAAUAAAUUGCUGGAUAAAGGACAUCGCCUUUUAUAUGUCAUGCCACUAACUGAGCAGAAGUUCAUGAACAAAUUUCUUUUCCCGUACAAGGAGAAAUUUACUUCACUCUAUAAUUCCUAUGUUGCUGCUGUGCAGGGAAAGCACCAUGUUGUCCCUGAAAAUUAGGAUUGCAAGUGCUUCCUCGAGAUAAAAGUGUAAACCUAUUGCAUACUGACUGCACUAUUUAAUCAUCUUAAAUUUGUGACAAUUUAUAAUCUUCA
Musa acuminata AAA Group (dessert banana) is the source of this 1398-nucleotide long non-coding RNA. RefSeq lists it as uncharacterized. The transcript is spliced from 2 exons. Lineage: Eukaryota; Viridiplantae; Streptophyta; Magnoliopsida; Zingiberales; Musaceae. The record is from RefSeq and is a predicted model, not a curated record.